GAAUCUCUUAGCAACCAUUAUUUUUUUGCCUUCCGAAAAUUUUG
Molecule: unclassified non-coding RNA, 44 nt
Filed under: synthetic construct
Description: NT-DNA from synthetic construct (PDB 7Z1M, chain S)
Source: RNAcentral